UGGGGAAUAUUGCACAAUGGGCGCAAGCCUGAUGCAGCCAUGCCGCGUGUGUGAAGAAGGCCUUCGGGUUGUAAAGCACUUUCAGCGAGGAGGAAGGGUAGUGUGUUAAUAGCACAUUGCAUUGACGUUACUCGCAGAAGAAGCACCGGCUAACUCCGUGCCAGCAGCCGCGGUAAUACGGAGGGUGCAAGCGUUAAUCGGAAUUACUGGGCGUAAAGCGCACGCAGGCGGUUUGUUAAGUCAGAUGUGAAAUCCCCGCGCUUAACGUGGGAACUGCAUUUGAAACUGGCAAGCUAGAGUCUUGUAGAGGGGGGUAGAAUUCCAGGUGUAGCGGUGAAAUGCGUAGAGAUCUGGAGGAAUACCGGUGGCGAAGGCGGCCCCCCUGGACAAAGACUGACGCUCAGGUGCGAAAGCG
RNAcentral lists this ribosomal RNA (415 nucleotides) under uncultured bacterium. Its description in RNAcentral is "partial 16S ribosomal RNA". It matches the Rfam family "Bacterial small subunit ribosomal RNA", at positions 355 to 761 of the family's 1533-position model. The record is from RNAcentral.